UAUUCCUAUAAACCUCUAUUUCGCAUUUUUUUAAAGACUAUUUUAUUCCUUAAUUGCUUAAUUAUUCAAUUUUCGAUUUGCCCGUAUUGUUUUGAAUUAGAAAUGCUAUCCUUCGGAUUAUAUUCAGUUUGUUUUGUUUUAAAAUAUUCACGGCUGCGCCAUCUGCCGAAAGAAUACGUCGAACUUUUGAAGAUACUUUGAGUGACUUUGUAAAUAAAGUGAAAAAUGCAAAGCCUUUUGGUCAUUUAGUCUUUAAAUUUGGUCUUAUGACUUUAAAGCUACGAUUCUUGUACUAAUUAACUGGAGAAUUCGUAUGUCUUUUUUGUAAUGCCGUACGACAAUAGUCGUAAACGUAGAUAAAUUCUACAAUAUUUCAGGUCACUAGAGAUGGCAUUAUGCACGUCACAAGACCCAAGUAUUUUUACACCAAAUUUCCCAACGYUUUCAAUUGAUGUUUGGUGGAAUUAGAGAGUUGGUGAUCCAAAGCGUAAAACAACCAGACGAAACAAAGAAACGAACUGUUCCAAGCCGUUAUUGAUAUUGUAAAAUUCACACCAAUAUUAAAAUCAAAGUUUGAAUAAAA
Long non-coding RNA from Actinia tenebrosa (Australian red waratah sea anemone), 583 nucleotides. RefSeq lists it as uncharacterized. NCBI's taxonomy places the organism in Eukaryota, Metazoa, Cnidaria, Anthozoa, Actiniaria, Actiniidae. The record is from RefSeq and is a predicted model, not a curated record.